RNAcentral lists this small nuclear RNA (107 nucleotides) under Suricata suricatta (meerkat). Lineage: Eukaryota; Metazoa; Chordata; Mammalia; Carnivora; Herpestidae. The record is from RNAcentral.
GUGCUUGCUUCAGCAGCACAUAUACUAAAAUUAGGACGAUACAGAGAAGUUUAGCAUGGCCCCUGCGCAAGGAUGACAUUCAAAUUCAUGAAGCGUUCCAUAUUUUU